RNAcentral lists this ribosomal RNA (445 nucleotides) under uncultured bacterium. Its description in RNAcentral is "partial 16S ribosomal RNA". It matches the Rfam family "Bacterial small subunit ribosomal RNA", at positions 354 to 796 of the family's 1533-position model. The record is from RNAcentral.
UUGAGGAAUAUUGGACAAUGGGCGCAAGCCUGAUCCAGCCAUGCCGCGUGCAGGAAGACGCAUCUAUGGUGUGUAAACUGCUUUUGUACGGGAAGAAACACUCCCUCGUGAGGGAGCUUGACGGUACCGUAAGAAUAAGGAUCGGCUAACUCCGUGCCAGCAGCCGCGGUAAUACGGAGGAUCCAAGCGUUAUCCGGAAUCAUUGGGUUUAAAGGGUCCGUAGGCGGUUUAAUAAGUCAGUGGUGAAAGCCCAUCGCUCAACGAUGGAACGGCCAUUGAUACUGUUAGACUUGAAUUACAAGGAAGUAACUAGAAUAUGUAGUGUAGCGGUGAAAUGCUUAGAUAUUACAUGGAAUACCAAUUGCGAAGGCAGGUUACUACUUGUGGAUUGACGCUGAUGGACGAAAGCGUGGGGAGCGAACAGGAUUAGAUACCCUGGUAGUCC